AAUAAAAUAUAAUAAAAUAAAAUAAAAAAAGUAAAAUAAAAUAAAAUAAUGAAAAGGAAAAUGGAAAACCCAGUCCUGUCUAAGAAAUCAGAGUUGCUUAGGACUCUGAAGAAUUUAAUAGCGUCGUGGUGAACCAUUUUGUCUGCUACUGUUGAGAUGUAAGCAUUAAAGCAAUGUAAAACUAGCUAAACCCUUACAAAAAAAAAAAAAAAAGAUGAAGAAGAUAAAAAACCUCCCUUCUUGUCUUACCAACACUGCUAUUAUCACAUAGUGUGUUUCACAUGAUAAGCCAUUCAUUAAAGCAUCACCUACUGUUUUUUUCCUCCUCGGAACCAGCUAGAACAUGAUCUGUCUCUGCAUGAAGACAUCGGACCUCUGACCUUUUCUGUAGCUAUUCCAGGUAGAACAAGAAAUCCUCACCACUACUUUUCUGAAGGGAAGCUGAGGAGCAGUUGAUGGAAGACACUGUCAUAACAGGGAUGAUGAAUGUUGCCAGAUUUAUAUCCACUUUCUUGUUCCAGUUGAUGCCAGCCUGCAUUCCUUUGCUGUUGUGCAGGUAUGACUAAGUACUGUCUCAUUCCAUUGAAUAGGGCAUCAUUUGUCUUGGGUUCUACAGGCUGGCUGCAUACAU
Molecule: long non-coding RNA, 631 nt
Filed under: Vulpes vulpes (red fox)
Lineage: Eukaryota; Metazoa; Chordata; Mammalia; Carnivora; Canidae
Description: lncRNA (ENSVVUG00000010915.1)
Source: RNAcentral